GUACGCAGGGUGCCUUUGAAAGCCCCAGGGCAUGGGAGGAAAGAUCCACAUUGGCCAAGUCAUUAUGUUCAUCUGCACCAAGCUGCAGAACAAGGAGUAUGUGAUUAAGACCCCACACAGGACCAAGUUCAAGUUCCCUAGCUGCUAGAAGAUCCAUAUUUCAAAGAAGUGAGAUUUUACCAAGAUUAAUGUGGAUGAAUUUGAAGACAUGGUAGCUGUGAAACAGCUCAUCCUAGACAGCUAUCAGGUCGAACACCCCCAAUCAUGGCCCCCUGGACAAGUGGUGGGCCCUGUACUUA
Molecule: long non-coding RNA, 299 nt
Filed under: Homo sapiens (human)
Lineage: Eukaryota; Metazoa; Chordata; Mammalia; Primates; Hominidae
Description: non-protein coding lnc-CWH43-1:1
Source: RNAcentral